UACGUAGGGAGCAAGCGUUGUUCGGAUUUACUGGGCGUAAAGGGCGCGUAGGCGGCAGAUUAAGUCAGCUGUGAAAUCUCCGAGCUUAACUCGGAACUGUCAGCUGAUACUGUUUUGCUAGAGUGCGGAAGGGGCAAUCGGAAUUCUUGGUGUAGCGGUGAAAUGCGUAGAUAUCAAGAGGAACACCUGAGGUGAAGACGGGUUGCUGGGCCGACACUGACGCUGAGUGCGCGAAAGCCAGGGGAGCAAACGGG
RNAcentral lists this ribosomal RNA (254 nucleotides) under uncultured bacterium. Its description in RNAcentral is "partial 16S ribosomal RNA". It matches the Rfam family "Bacterial small subunit ribosomal RNA", at positions 524 to 776 of the family's 1533-position model. The record is from RNAcentral.